CGCUUUUUUCGCCCAAGCGGAGCUCGACCGCAAGCUCAAGUCCUGAAUGCCUAUAUCGACCAGCACCGGGAUAGCUACGGGGUCGAGCCGAUCUGCAAGGUGUUGCAGAUUGCCCCA
This is a non-coding RNA of Gammaproteobacteria bacterium SG8_47, 117 nucleotides long. NCBI's taxonomy places the organism in Bacteria, Pseudomonadati, Pseudomonadota, Gammaproteobacteria. The record is from Rfam.